This 402-nucleotide small RNA is filed under the name Georgfuchsia toluolica. RNAcentral describes it as "cspA thermoregulator". It matches the Rfam family "cspA thermoregulator". The record is from Rfam by way of RNAcentral. Lineage: Bacteria; Pseudomonadati; Pseudomonadota; Betaproteobacteria; Nitrosomonadales; Sterolibacteriaceae.
GUAUGCUGCCAGCAGCAGUCGAUUCAAGUCCGGUAUUUGCUGUACGGUGGUCACCCCGCCUUCAAGGCGCUGUCUUUCCAGUCCUGCGACGUUUCUUGAUUUCGUUUGCAUCCGGGCAUGUGCCCGGCUUUAUAUUUUUUCAAGGAAACUAGCAUGUCAACUGGUACAGUAAAGUGGUUCAACGAUGCGAAGGGUUUUGGCUUCAUCACUCCCGAUGACGGCGGUGAAGACCUGUUCGCGCAUUUCUCCGAAAUCCAGGCCAGUGGCUUCAAGUCGCUGCAAGAAGGCCAGAAAGUCAACUUCGAUGUGAAGAUGGGUCCGAAAGGCAAGCAGGCCGCCGCUAUCAAGCCGGUAUAACUCCCGACUUCGACAAAAACCGCAGCUUGGGCUGCGGUUUUUUUA